Molecule: transfer RNA, 72 nt
Filed under: Vulgatibacter incomptus
Lineage: Bacteria; Pseudomonadati; Myxococcota; Myxococcia; Myxococcales; Vulgatibacteraceae
Rfam family: tRNA
About the family: Transfer RNA (tRNA) molecules are approximately 80 nucleotides in length. Their secondary structure includes four short double-helical elements and three loops (D, anti-codon, and T loops).
Source: Rfam by way of RNAcentral
GAGCCGCUAGCUCAAUGGCAGAGCAACGGCCUUUUAAGCCGAUGGUUGUGGGUUCAACUCCCACGCGGCUCA